AUUAUUGUAUACCUGUCUAUUAUGCAUGUCUUUUGCAUAAAUGUUAUUUUAAAUUGGUGCUUUACAUCUUUUUUUUUAUUGCAUUAGCCAGAACUCUUCCUGAGACACAAUUCUUUUUUAAAAUAAAAUUUCAUAAGGUUACAUUGAUUUGUAAUACAUGUUUUUAACUCCCCAGGUUUUAAAACCAAUCUGAAAUACUGCCUUCCUUUAUUCCCUGUCAUAUGUCAAUGUUUUUCCAAAUGCUUUAUUCUGUAAAAACUAAAAAAAUACAGAAUAAAUAAUUGAGGAUAUCUUAAAAAAAAAUAAUUUGUGGCUCAAAAAAUAAUGUUCAUCUUUUUCCUCAACAGUCCUACACUUUAUGCUGAUCAAUUGACAAAGGAAGUCCUUUGCUUACUGCCUUGAAGAAUGAGGAUAGACGAUAUCAACCUUUUAAAGCAAUAUAAUAGUCAAACCUCUAAUAGGUUCUAAAGAAAUAAUUACUUGUUUGUUUUAGCUACACAAUAUUUGGUGCAUUGCAAGUUUCUAAGGGAGAAAACUUCUCAAGGAACAUUCAAAUUUCAGGGAUCUCCAUGGCCUGUUUAACGAUGGUGCCCCGCCAUCGUUCAAAUGUCUUGUGCCAUCGUCAAAUGAAUUGCGCCAUCGUUAAAUUGUCUUGCGCCAUCGUUAAAUUGUCUUCCACAUCGUUCAAAACUUCAUCGUUUUUUGCAGCCUGACGCCAUUUUUUUUAUCAAUUAUAAUCAAAUGCAUGUAAUUGCAUAACCCUUAGGCUUUUUAUGUUAUAAUCCAAUACAGUUCUAACGCCUGAGGGAUAUCCGGAUUAAGAUCGCUUAUCACUUGUACCUGAGCUUGUACAGGUAUAUCAACAAACCAGACAGGAGAAUACUAUCUGAGGAUAGACGAUCUAUUUGUCGAAUUAAUCAACUAAGUUUCAACAAAUGAUUAUGAUAAUUUAGAUUAAAUAAAUAAAUUAAUAAUCCAGUUAGGCAGCAACCAUUUGAUUUUCUGGGGGGG
This 1011-nucleotide long non-coding RNA is filed under the name Mytilus galloprovincialis (Mediterranean mussel). The record is from RNAcentral. Lineage: Eukaryota; Metazoa; Mollusca; Bivalvia; Mytilida; Mytilidae.